This 1110-nucleotide ribosomal RNA is filed under the name Triticum aestivum (bread wheat). Its description in RNAcentral is "partial small subunit ribosomal RNA". The record is from RNAcentral. Lineage: Eukaryota; Viridiplantae; Streptophyta; Magnoliopsida; Poales; Poaceae.
AUGGUUCAUCAGGAUCAGGGAAAGCUGGUGCAGGUGGUGGCCGCGAACGUUGGACUUGUGGCGCCGCCGAGCGGGUACAUGCUAAGUGAGGAGAACCGACCGACCACUGUCGCUCAGCAAGCCAAGCUGGUUAUCCCCAUCGUGGACGUGAGCCGUCUGGCCAUGCCCGACGAUGUUGAGGAGGCGGCCAAGCUUCGCUCUGCGCUGCAGUCAUGGGGCCUCUUUGUGGUGACUGGCCAUGGCAUGUCAAAGGAGUUCCUCAACGAGAUCCUCGAGGCGACGAGGAAGUUCUUCCACCUGCCGCUGGAGGAGAAGCAGAAGUGCGGCAACUUCCAGAACGAAGGGUAUCGCAUCGACCGCAUCGACUCCGAUGAGCAGAUCCUUGACUGGUGUGACCGGCUCUGGCUCCAGCUCCAGCCGGAGGACGAGAGGCGGCUCCAGUUCUGGCCACAUAAUUUAUAUCGGAGAUCAUAUAUAAUCUGCAGGGAUCUCCUACACGAGUACACCUUAGAGAGUGGGAGAGUGACCAUGAAUGUGUUGAAGGCCAUGGCAAAGCUUCUGAACCGGGAGGAGGGCUUCUUCAUCAACAUGGUGGGUGAGAGGUUCAAGUCAUACUCGAGGUUCACCUACUACCCUCCCUGCCCACGGCCGGACCUCGUGAACGGGCUGAAGCCGCACACCGACAACUCCGUCAUCACACUCAUCCUCAUGGACAAGGACGUCGGCGGCCUCCAUGUGCUCAAGGACGGCCACUGGGAUGUCCCCGUGCUCGGUAAUGACAUGUUGGUCGUCGUAGGUGAGGGCAUGGAGAUCGUCAGCAAUGCAAUCUUCAAGGCACCAUGGCACCGUGUGGUGACGAGUGCUAACAAGGAGAGGCUGUCACUGGCGAUGUUCUACCAGCCGGAGCCGGAGAGGAUCAUAGGGCCUCCGGGGGUGCUGGUUCACGAGAAGCGCCCGGCCAUGUUCAAGAACUACCUGGUCCAGACCUUGGGCGAUGGAUACUGGGAUGCGUUUGCAGCGGGAGAUCGCACCGUCGACUUCCUCAAUGUCAGGAUCAAUGCUGAGGCCGACACCGAACUGGAGGGGCGCGCAGUGGUUGCAAACAACUAA